GCUAGUUGUGCGGGUUUAGACCCGCAGCGGAAGCUCAGUAACACGUGGCCAAACUACCCUGUGGAUGGGAACAAUCUCGGGAAACUGAGGCUAAUUCCCAAUAACGCUCCAGCCCUGGAACGGGCGGAGCUGGAAACGCUACGGCGCCACAGGAUGUGGCUGCGGUCGAUUAGGUAGACGGUGGGGUAACGGCCCACCGUGCCAAUAAUCGGUACGGGUUGUGAGAGCAAGAGCCCGGAGACGGAAUCUGAGACAAGAUUCCGGGCCCUACGGGGCGCAGCAGGCGCGAAACCUUUACACUGUACGCAAGUGCGAUAAGGGGACUCCGAGUGUGAAGGCAUAGAGCCUUCACUUUUGUACACCGUAAGGUGGUGUACGAAUAAGGGCUGGGCAAGACCGGUGCCAGCCGCCGCGGUAAUACCGGCAGCCCGAGUGAUGGCCGAUAUUAUUGGGCCUAAAGCGUCCGUAGCUGGCCGGACAAGUCCGUUGGGAAAUCUGUUCGCUUAACGAGCAGGCGUCCAGCGGAAACUGUUCGGCUUGGGACCGGAAGACCUGAGGGGUACGUCCGGGGUAGGAGUGAAAUCCUGUAAUCCUGGACGGACCACCGGUGGCGAAAGCGCCUCAGGAGGACGGAUCCGACAGUGAGGGACGAAAGCUAGGGUCUCGAACCGGAUUAGAUACCCGGGUAGUCCUAGCUGUAAACGAUGCCCGCUAGGUGGUGGCGCAGGCUACGAGCCUGCGCUGUGCCGUAGGGAAGCCGAGAAGCGGGCCGCCUGGGAAGUACGUCUGCAAGGAUGAAACUUAAAGGAAUUGGCGGGGGAGCACUACAACCGGAGGAGCCUGCGGUUUAAUUGGACUCAACGCCGGACAUCUCACCAGCUCCGACAGUAAUAAUGACGGUCAGGUUGAUGACCUUACCCG
RNAcentral lists this ribosomal RNA (921 nucleotides) under Halobacterium sp. Its description in RNAcentral is "bacterial SSU rRNA". It matches the Rfam family "Archaeal small subunit ribosomal RNA", at positions 53 to 974 of the family's 1478-position model. Lineage: Archaea; Methanobacteriati; Methanobacteriota; Halobacteria; Halobacteriales; Halobacteriaceae. The record is from RNAcentral.